AUGGGUGCCGGACUAUAUGGGUACAUAGAUGAAACCAUACUCGAGCCAACCAAGACCAUCAUCACCAAAAAUUCAGAAGGAAAGGAAUCCAUCGUUCCAAAUCCUGCCUACAACCCAUGGCUGGUCCAGGACCAGCAGAUCAUCGCUUUCCUUCUUAGAAACCUAUCGAAGGAGGUACUAGUCCAGGUCGCAUCUUUAGAAACCUCUCAUGCCAUUUGGAGUGCCCUAGCCAACAUGUUUGCUGCCCAAUCCCUCUCGCAUGCAAACAACUACCGCAUAGCCCUCUCCAAUGCACAGAAAGGUUCCCAGAGUGCCACCACAUAUAAGCCUUCUCAGAUGAACUAG
RNAcentral lists this ribosomal RNA (345 nucleotides) under Triticum aestivum (bread wheat). Its description in RNAcentral is "partial small subunit ribosomal RNA". Lineage: Eukaryota; Viridiplantae; Streptophyta; Magnoliopsida; Poales; Poaceae. The record is from RNAcentral.